Molecule: non-coding RNA, 548 nt
Organism: Cinara cedri
Lineage: Eukaryota; Metazoa; Arthropoda; Insecta; Hemiptera; Aphididae
Source: the annotation of a GenBank genome assembly
AGUGAAAUUUAACUAAAGCAACUUAAGUGACCAUUAACUAGGAUUAAUUGGUUCAGUGUUCAGUAAAAUGUUUAGAUUUUGAUAUAAAUAGUAACUUUAAAAUACUUAACAAAAUUUAGAAAAUUGACAAAAUGGUAAAUAAAUGAUAAAAAACGUUUUUGUAUAAUACAAUUUUACAACUUCACAUCACUAGUCCUAUUACAUUAUUUAAUUAGGUGUACAUAUUAGAUGUGUAGACUUCAAAAUAAACGAGUUUAAAUGAUCUCAUUCAUCUGUUUAAAAUGUAAGAAAAAACAUGUUUAUAUUUUAUUUGAUCAUCUAUUUUUCAAUAUUUUCAAUGAGCUUGAACAUUAAUUGGGUCAUUCAUUUUAAUUCAGAAUAUAAAUUUCACAUUGAAAAUUUAGGCUAAUUAAGUAAUGAAUCUAAUCACUACAAAUUAAAUUCUAAGAUAAUUUUGCUAAACUACAAAAUAUAAAAUAUAAUAUAACAAAUAUACUGUGAUGACCUCUUUAAAUUAUACAUUUUAAGAUUUCCUCUUAAAUAGGAUU